This 486-nucleotide ribosomal RNA is filed under the name uncultured bacterium. RNAcentral's name for it is "bacterial SSU rRNA". It matches the Rfam family "Bacterial small subunit ribosomal RNA", at positions 29 to 507 of the family's 1533-position model. The record is from RNAcentral.
AUGAACGCUAGCGGCAGGCCUAACACAUGCAAGUCGAGGGGUAGCAGGAUUAAGCUUGCUUAAUUGCUGACGACCGGCGCACGGGUGCGUAACGCGUAUGCAACCUACCUUAUACUGGGGUAUAGCCCGGAGAAAUUCGGAUUAAUCCCCCAUAGUACUAUUUGAUCGCAUGGUUGAAUAGUUAAAGCAUUGCGGUAUAAGAUGGGCAUGCGUCCUAUUAGCUAGAUGGUGAGGUAACGGCUCACCAUGGCUACGAUAGGUAGGGGGCCUGAGAGGGUGGUCCCCCACACUGGUACUGAGACACGGACCAGACUCCUACGGGAGGCAGCAGUGAGGAAUAUUGGUCAAUGGGCGCAAGCCUGAACCAGCCAUGCCGCGUGCAGGAAGAAUGCCCUAUGGGUUGUAAACUGCUUUUAUUUGGGAAUAAACCUCUUUACGUGUAGAGAGCUGAAGGUACCAAAUGAAUAAGCACCGGCUAACUCCGUG